AAGUAAAAGUCGUAACAAGGUUUCCGUAGGUGAACCUGCGGAAGGAUCAUUACCUAGAGUUGCGGGCUUUGCCUGCCAUCUCUUACCCAUGUCUUUUGAGUACCUUACGUUUCCUCGGCGGGUCCGCCCGCCGAUUGGACAAUUUAAACCAUUUGCAGUUGCAAUCAGCGUCUGAAAAAAACUUAAUAGUUACAACUUUCAACAACGGAUCUCUUGGUUCUGGCAUCGAUGAAGAACGCAGCGAAAUGCGAUAAGUAGUGUGAAUUGCAGAAUUCAGUGAAUCAUCGAAUCUUUGAACGCACAUUGCGCCCCUUGGUAUUCCAUGGGGCAUGCCUGUUCGAGCGUCAUUUGUACCUUCAAGCUCUGCUUGGUGUUGGGUGUUUGUCUCGCCUCCGCGCGCAGACUCGCCUCAAAACAAUUGGCAGCCGGCGUAUUGAUUUCGGAGCGCAGUACAUCUCGCGCUUUGCACUCACAACGACGACGUCCAAAAGUACAUUUUUUACACUCUUGACCUCGGAUCAGGUAGGGAUACCCGCUGAACUUAAGCAUAUCAUA
This 555-nucleotide ribosomal RNA is filed under the name aff. Phoma sp. RNAcentral's name for it is "eukaryotic LSU rRNA". The stretch from base 194 to 347 matches the Rfam family "5.8S ribosomal RNA". Lineage: Eukaryota; Fungi; Ascomycota; Dothideomycetes; Pleosporales; Didymellaceae. The record is from RNAcentral.